Molecule: ribosomal RNA, 617 nt
Filed under: uncultured bacterium
Lineage: Bacteria
Description: bacterial SSU rRNA
Rfam family: Bacterial small subunit ribosomal RNA
Source: RNAcentral
CGGGGCUUAGUGCCGGAGCUAACGCAAUAAGCACUCCGCCUGGGGAGUACGACCGCAAGGUUGAAACUCAAAGGAAUUGACGGGGGCCCGCACAAGCGGUGGAGCAUGUGGUUUAAUUCGAAGCAACGCGAAGAACCUUACCAGGUCUUGACAUCCCGAUGCUAUUCUUGGAGAUAGGAAGUUACUUCGGUACAUCGGAGACAGGUGGUGCAUGGUUGUCGUCAGCUCGUGUCGUGAGAUGUUGGGUUAAGUCCCGCAACGAGCGCAACCCUUAUUGUUAGUUGCCAUCAUUAUGUUGGGCACUCUAGCGAGACUGCCGGUAAUAAACCGGAGGAAGGUGGGGAUGACGUCAAAUCAUCAUGCCCCUUAUGACCUGGGCUACACACGUGCUACAAUGGUCGGUACAACGAGUUGCGAGCCGGUGACGGCAAGCUAAUCUCUGAAAGCCGAUCUCAGUUCGGAUUGGAGGCUGCAACUCGCCUCCAUGAAGUCGGAAUCGCUAGUAAUCGCGGAUCAGCACGCCGCGGUGAAUACGUUCCCGGGCCUUGUACACACCGCCCGUCACACCACGAGAGUUUGUAACACCCGAAGUCGGUGAGGUANCCUUUUAGGGGCCA